Molecule: ribosomal RNA, 433 nt
Filed under: uncultured bacterium
Lineage: Bacteria
Description: partial 16S ribosomal RNA
Rfam family: Bacterial small subunit ribosomal RNA
Source: RNAcentral
AACGAACGCUGGCGGCAUGCCUAACACAUGCCAGUCGAACGAGACCUUCGGGUCUAGUGGCGCACGGGUGCGUAACGCGUGGGAACCUGCCCUUAGGUUCGGAAUAACUCCCCGAAAGGGGUGCUAAUACCGGAUAAUGUCUUCGGACCAAAGAUUUAUCGCCUUUGGAUGGGCCCGCGGUGGAUUAGCUAGUUGGUAGGGUAAAAGCCUACCAAGGCGACGAUCCAUAGCUGGUCUGAGAGGAUGAUCAGCCACACUGGGACUGAGACACGGCCCAGACUCCUACGGGAGGCAGCAGUGGGGAAUAUUGGACAAUGGGCGAAAGCCUGAUCCAGCAAUGCCGCGUGAGUGAUGAAGGCCUUAGGGUUGUAAAGCUCUUUUACCCGGGAUGAUAAUGACAGUACCGGGAGAAUAAGCUCCGGCUAACUCCGUG